RNAcentral lists this ribosomal RNA (744 nucleotides) under fungal sp. RNAcentral's name for it is "eukaryotic LSU rRNA". The stretch from base 484 to 744 matches the Rfam family "Eukaryotic large subunit ribosomal RNA", at positions 1 to 258 of the family's 3401-position model. The record is from RNAcentral. Lineage: Eukaryota; Fungi.
CUGCGGAAGGAUCAUUACCGAGUGCGGGCCCCUCGGGGCCCAACCUCCCACCCGUGUUGCCCGAACCUAUGUUGCCUCGGCGGGCCCCGCGCCCGCCGACGGCCCCCCUGAACGCUGUCUGAAGUUGCAGUCUGAGACCUAUAACGAAAUUAGUUAAAACUUUCAACAACGGAUCUCUUGGUUCCGGCAUCGAUGAAGAACGCAGCGAAAUGCGAUAACUAAUGUGAAUUGCAGAAUUCAGUGAAUCAUCGAGUCUUUGAACGCACAUUGCGCCCUCUGGUAUUCCGGAGGGCAUGCCUGUCCGAGCGUCAUUGCUGCCCUCAAGCCCGGCUUGUGUGUUGGGCCCCGUCCCCCCCGCCGGGGGGACGGGCCCGAAAGGCAGCGGCGGCACCGCGUCCGGUCCUCGAGCGUAUGGGGCUUCGUCACCCGCUCUAGUAGGCCCGGCCGGCGCCAGCCGACCCCCAACCUUUAAUUAUCUCAGGUUGACCUCGGAUCAGGUAGGGAUACCCGCUGAACUUAAGCAUAUCAAUAAGCGGAGGAAAAGAAACCAACCGGGAUUGCCCUAGUAACGGCGAGUGAAGCGGCAAGAGCUCAAAUUUGAAAGCUGGCCCCCUCGGGGUCCGCAUUGUAAUUUGCAGAGGAUGCUUCGGGAACGGCCCCCAUCUAAGUGCCCUGGAACGGGCCGUCAUAGAGGGUGAGAAUCCCGUCUGGGAUGGGGUGGCCGCGCCCGUGUGAAGCUCCUUC